AUUGAACGCUGGCGGCAUGCCUUACACAUGCAAGUCGAACGGCAGCACGGGUGCUUGCACCUGGUGGCGAGUGGCGAACGGGUGAGUAAUACAUCGGAACAUGUCCUGUAGUGGGGGAUAGCCCGGCGAAAGCCGGAUUAAUACCGCGUACGAUCUACGGAUGAAAGCGGGGGACCUUCGGGCCUCGCGCUAUAGGGUUGGCCGAUGGCUGAUUAGCUAGUUGGUGGGGUAAAGGCCUACCAAGGCGACGAUCAGUAGCUGGUCUGAGAGGACGACCAGCCACACUGGGACUGAGACACGGCCCAGACUCCUACGGGAGGCAGCAGUGGGGAAUUUUGGACAAUGGGCGAAAGCCUGAUCCAGCAAUGCCGCGUGUGUGAAGAAGGCCUUCGGGUUGUAAAGCACUUUUGUCCGGAAAGAAAUCCUUGGCCCUAAUACGGUCGGGGGAUGACGGUACCGGAAGAAUAAGCACCGGCUAACUACGUG
RNAcentral lists this ribosomal RNA (486 nucleotides) under uncultured bacterium. Its description in RNAcentral is "partial 16S ribosomal RNA". It matches the Rfam family "Bacterial small subunit ribosomal RNA", at positions 30 to 507 of the family's 1533-position model. The record is from RNAcentral.